ACUAAGUUUUAUUCUAGCUUAGUGGUUAAGUAUUUUUUUUUAUUUACAUGCAAGGAUUAAAUGAUUAAGAGUUUAAAAAGCUUUUAUUUAAAAUGCAGUAAUUAAUUUUAGUUUUUUAUAGAUUAAGAAUUAGAUAUAAAUUUAAGUAUUAACUUAAUUUGUGCCAGCAGUUGCGGUUAUACAAAUAAUGCAAUUUAAUUUUUUAAGUUUUAAUUAAUUUUAAGAAUAUAUAAAAUUAAAUAUUGAAUUAAUUGGGUGAAAUUUUUAAUUUAAUUAAAAUUUUAUUUUUGUUGAUGAGGUUAGAAAAUUUAUCUUUAAACUAGGAUUAGAUACCCUAUUAUUAUAAAUGUAAUAUUAAAUAUUAAGUAAUUAAUAGUUAUGAUCUUUAAAAUUAAAGAAUUUGGCGGUAUUUUAGUCUAUUCAGAGGAACCUGUUCUAUAAUCGAUAACCCACGAUUUAUUUUACUUAUUUUAAAUAGUUUGUAUAUCGUCGUAGUUUGAAUAUUUUAGGAGAAUUUAAAUAUUCAAGAUUUAUUAUUUAAAUUAAAUCAGAUCAAGAUGCAGUUUAUAAGUAAGGAGAGAUGGGUUACAUUAUUAUAAAAUAUAUGGAUUAAUUUAUGAAAGAAAUUAUAAAAUUGGAUUUGAAAGUAAUUUGAAUUAUUUAGUUUAAAUGAUUUAAGCUCUAAAAUAUGUACAUAUCGCCCGUCGCUUUCCCUUUAAGGGGAAAUAAGUCGUAACAAAGUAGGUGUACUGGAAAGUGUGCCUAGAAAGU
This 771-nucleotide non-coding RNA is filed under the name Tritoma metasobrina. Lineage: Eukaryota; Metazoa; Arthropoda; Insecta; Coleoptera; Erotylidae. The record is from RNAcentral.